Molecule: unclassified non-coding RNA, 240 nt
Filed under: fungal sp.
Lineage: Eukaryota; Fungi
Description: partial internal transcribed spacer region
Rfam family: Eukaryotic small subunit ribosomal RNA (bases 1-46)
Source: RNAcentral
AAGUCGUAACAAGGUUUCCGUAGGUGAACCUGCGGAAGGAUCAUUACCGAGUUCGGGGUUUCCCAACUCCCACCCUUGUUUACCAGACGUUGCUUCGGCGAGACGUUGGAAGCAGCCAUCGGCAAUUCAUCAAAGACGCGCCGAUGCGUGCUCGCCGGACUCCAAAUACUCUUAGACUAUGUACAGUCGGAUGAAACAAGCAAUAUAUAAAAACUUUCAACAACGGAUCUCUUGGUUUUG